UAAGGAAUAUUGGUCAAUGGAGGCAACUCUGAACCAGCCAUGCCGCGUGCAGGAAGAAGGCCCUAUGGGUCGUAAACUGCUUUUGAACAAGAGAAAACCCCGGUACGUGUACUGGGUUGAUAGUAUUGUUAGAAUAAGCAUCGGCUAACUUCGUGCCAGCAGCCGCGGUAAGACGAAGGAUGCAAGCGUUAUCCGGAUUCAUUGGGUUUAAAGGGUGCGUAGGCGGACUGGUAAGUCAGUGGUGAAAUCUCUCGGCUUAACCGAGAAACUGCCAUUGAUACUGUUAGUCUAGAGUACAGAUGAUGUGGGCGGAAUAUGACAUGUAGUGGUGAAAUACUUAGAUAUGUCAUAGAACACCGAUUGCGAAGGCAGCUCACAAAACUGUAACUGACGCUGAGGCACGAAAGUGCGGGGAUCAAACAGGAUUAGAUACCCCCGUAGUCCCUGAGCGGGCUGGCAAGGCGCAU
Molecule: ribosomal RNA, 467 nt
Filed under: uncultured bacterium
Lineage: Bacteria
Description: bacterial SSU rRNA
Rfam family: Bacterial small subunit ribosomal RNA
Source: RNAcentral